GGUGUAGUUGUUGAUUAAAACAAAAGAAGAACCACCUGACAAGCUCUCUCUCUCUCUCUCCACAGAAAUUUUUCGCAGUCUCGAAAUUCUUCCUCCUCAUCAUCAGUAAGUACUUUCAAACUGUGAUUUCCACUAUCAUUUUCAGAGAAUCCUAAGAUCUUUCUUUCAGAUUUUAAUUACAAUUUCCAAUUCUCAGUUCAAGUUUAGGUCAAUUUUAUCAUCCCCAAAACCUAAAAUGGGGGACGACAAUAACAAUGAUUUCACUUUUCCCGUCAAUCAAAACCUAAUCGAACAACUACCUAACGAAGUUCCUGAUAUCAGUGGUGUUACAUUGAAAGAAGAUUUGGCAAGCAGUUCUAGUAAUAUUGAUGCUGCUGCUGAUUCAUCUAAGAAGGUUCAGAAGGAAGUUGGUUCAUUAUCAUUCACUGUUGUUGAUAUGUCAUCAUCUGGUAAACCUAAGGAUGAAGUGUCAAAACAAGUGAUGAAAGAACCAAUUCAGGAUGAGGCGGAGGAGGUGUUUACAACUAGAAAGCCUAUAGUUCGGUCGAAAGUUCCGUUUGAGAAGGGUUAUAGUCAAAUGGACUGGUUAAAGCUUACGAGAACACAUCCUGAUCUUGCAGGAUUGAAAGGAGCAUCUAAUAAAAGGCUCAUUACCAUGGAUGAAGUUAAGCAACAUCGAAAAGAAGGUUCAAUCUGGACGGUUUUGAAAGGUCGUGUGUACAACAUAACACCCUACAUGAACUUUCAUCCUGGAGGUGUUGACAUGCUAAUGAAGGGAUCGGGAAGAGAUUGCACCUCUUUAUUCAAUAAAUAUCAUGCUUGGGUAAACUAUGAAUUUAUGCUGGAGAAGUGCUUAGUUGGUACAUUAGAUGAAAGAAGGCAAUGAAGAGAAGAUUGCGCUUGAAUGUAGUUGUCUGCUUCUGUAUCAUCAUAAACUCGACGAAUCCCCAAUUGGUUGCAGAAGGCAUCCAGGAGAGCUUUAUAUUGAAGUCCGAUCUUCUUGAGAGUGGAAGGAAGGAUACACAGUGAACUACCCUAAAGUUUUGAUGUACUCUCCUCAAACUCCUUAGAACUUUCGGAACUUUGAUUAUUUAUUCUCUUCUCAUAUUGCUAAUUAUGCACUGAAUUAAUCAUCAUAUCUUAAUACAAAGUGUUACAUAUCUUCUCA
This is an RNA transcript of Papaver somniferum (opium poppy), 1168 nucleotides long. It is a transcript of the gene named cytochrome b5 domain-containing protein RLF-like, with no coding region annotated. The transcript has 5 exons. The record is from RefSeq and is a predicted model, not a curated record. NCBI's taxonomy places the organism in Eukaryota, Viridiplantae, Streptophyta, Magnoliopsida, Ranunculales, Papaveraceae.